UCGGCUACUUCCUUUCCCUUGC
RNAcentral lists this microRNA (22 nucleotides) under Triticum aestivum (bread wheat). RNAcentral's name for it is "tae-nsmR1". The record is from RNAcentral. Lineage: Eukaryota; Viridiplantae; Streptophyta; Magnoliopsida; Poales; Poaceae.